UACAGAGGUCUCAAGCGUUGUUCGGAUUCAUUGGGCGUAAAGGGUGCGUAGGUGGCAUGGUAAGUCGGAUGUGAAAUCCCGGGGCUCAACCCCGGAACUGCAUUCGAUACUGCUGCGCUAGAGUACUGGAGAGGAGAUUGGAAUUUACGGUGUAGCAGUGAAAUGCGUAGAUAUCGUAAGGAAGACCAGUGGCGAAGGCGGGUCUCUGGACAGUUCCUGACACUGAGGCACGAAGGCCAGGGGAGCAAACGGG
Molecule: ribosomal RNA, 253 nt
Filed under: uncultured bacterium
Lineage: Bacteria
Description: partial 16S ribosomal RNA
Rfam family: Bacterial small subunit ribosomal RNA
Source: RNAcentral